GAUGAACGCUGGCGGCGUGCCUAAUACAUGCAAGUCGAGCGAACAGAUAAGGAGCUUGCUCCUUUGACGUUAGCGGCGGACGGGUGAGUAACACGUGGGUAACCUACCUAUAAGACUGGAAUAACUCCGGGAAACCGGGGCUAAUGCCGGAUAACAUUUAGAACCGCAUGGUUCUAAAGUGAAAGAUGGUUUUGCUAUCACUUAUAGAUGGACCCGCGCCGUAUUAGCUAGUUGGUAAGGUAACGGCUUACCAAGGCAACGAUACGUAGCCGACCUGAGAGGGUGAUCGGCCACACUGGAACUGAGACACGGUCCAGACUCCUACGGGAGGCAGCAGUAGGGAAUCUUCCGCAAUGGGCGAAAGCCUGACGGAGCAACGCCGCGUGAGUGAUGAAGGUCUUCGGAUCGUAAAACUCUGUUAUUAGGGAAGAACAAAUGUGUAAGUAACUGUGCACGUCUUGACGGUACCUAAUCAGAAAGCCACGGCUAACUUCGUG
Molecule: ribosomal RNA, 497 nt
Filed under: uncultured bacterium
Lineage: Bacteria
Description: partial 16S ribosomal RNA
Rfam family: Bacterial small subunit ribosomal RNA
Source: RNAcentral